Molecule: long non-coding RNA, 161 nt
Organism: Hibiscus syriacus
Lineage: Eukaryota; Viridiplantae; Streptophyta; Magnoliopsida; Malvales; Malvaceae
Exons: 2
Source: RefSeq, a predicted model, not a curated record
AAUGUAGUGUUAUACAAUUACCUUUCGAAGUUGGAAGUUGAUGCACAAAUUUGGUUGGAUUGUGAUUUCAUCAACAGUGGUGGUUACCUGCUUACAUUUUGUUUCCUUUCUUGAGGAAUCUUAGUAUUUAUAUAUUAUUAUAAAUACGGUGAAAAUAAAAA